AGCCAUGCGAGUCAUUGUAGUAAUACAAGGCAGACGGCUCAGUAACGCGUAGUCAACCUAACCUAUGGACGGGGAUAACCUCGGGAAACUGGGUAUAAUACCCGAUAGAACAUUAUGCCUGGAAUGGUUUAUGUUCCAAAUGAUUUAUCGCCGUAGGAUGGGACUGCGGCCUAUCAGUUUGUUGGUGAGGUAAUGGCCCACCAAGACUAUUACAGGUACGGGCUCUGAGAGGAGUGGCCCGGAGAUGGGUACUGAGACACGGACCCAGGCCCUAUGGGGCGCAGCAGGCGAGAAAACUUUGCAAUGUGCGAAAGCACGACAAGGUUAAUCCGAGUGGUUUCUGCUAAAGGAACCUUUUGUCGGUCCUAGAAACACCGAUGAAUAAGGGGUGGGCAAGUUCUGGUGUCAGCCGCCGCGGUAAAACCAGCACCUCAAGUGGUCAGGAUGAUUAUUGGGCCUAAAGCAUCCGUAGCCGGCUCUGUAAGUUUUCGGUUAAAUCUGUACGCUCAACGUACAGGCUGCCGGGAAUACUGCAGAGCUAGGGAGUGGGAGAGGUAGACGGUACUCGGUAGGAAGGGGUAAAAUCCUUUGAUCUAUUGAUGACCACCUGUGGCGAAGGCGGUCUACCAGAACACGUCCGACGGUGAGGGAUGAAAGCUGGGGGAGCAAACCGGAUUAGAUACCCGGGUAGUCCCAGCUGUAAACUAUGCAAACUCAGUGAUGCAUUGGCUUGUGGCCAAUGCAGUGCUGCAGGGAAGCCGUUAAGUUUGCCGCCUGGGAAGUACGUACGCAAGUAUGAAACUUAAAGGAAUUGGCGGGG
RNAcentral lists this ribosomal RNA (820 nucleotides) under uncultured marine archaeon. RNAcentral describes it as "bacterial SSU rRNA". It matches the Rfam family "Archaeal small subunit ribosomal RNA", at positions 47 to 873 of the family's 1478-position model. The record is from RNAcentral.